GAUGAACGCUGGCGGCGUGCCUAAUACAUGCAAGUCGAGCGAACAGAUGAGGAGCUUGCUCCUCUGACGUUAGCGGCGGACGGGUGAGUAACACGUGGAUAACCUACCUAUAAGACUGGGAUAACUUCGGGAAACCGGAUCUAAUACCGUAUAAUAUAUUGAACCGCAUGGUUCAAUAGUGAAAGACGGUUUUGCUGUCACUUAUUGAUGGAUCCGCGCCGCAUUAGCUAGUUGGUAAGGUAACGGCUUACCAAGGCAACGAUGAGUAGCCGACCUGAGAGGGUGAUCGGCCACACUGGAACUGAGACACGGUCCAGACUCCUACGGGAGGCAGCAGUAGGGAAUCUUCCGCAAUGGGCGAAAGCCUGACGGAGCAACGCCGCGUGAGUGAUGAAGGUCUUCGGAUCUUAAAACCCUGUUAUUAGGGAAGACCAAAUGUGUAAGUAACUAUGCACGUCUUGACGGUACCUUAUCAGAAAGCCACGGCUAACUACGUG
RNAcentral lists this ribosomal RNA (497 nucleotides) under uncultured bacterium. RNAcentral describes it as "partial 16S ribosomal RNA". It matches the Rfam family "Bacterial small subunit ribosomal RNA", at positions 28 to 507 of the family's 1533-position model. The record is from RNAcentral.